Molecule: ribosomal RNA, 468 nt
Filed under: uncultured bacterium
Lineage: Bacteria
Description: partial 16S ribosomal RNA
Rfam family: Bacterial small subunit ribosomal RNA
Source: RNAcentral
GACGAACGCUGGCGGCGUGCUUAACACAUGCAAGUCGAACGGAAAGGCCCUGCUUUUGUGGGGUGCUCGAGUGGCGAACGGGUGAGUAACACGGGAGUAACCUGCCCUUGACUUUGGGAUAACUUCAGGAAACUGGGGCUAAUACCGGAUAGGAGCUCCUGCUGCAUGGUGGGGGUUGGAAAGUUUCGGCGGGUGGGGAUGGACUCGGGGCUUAUCAGCUGGUUGGGGGGGUAGUGGCUUACCAAGGCUUUGACGGGUAGUCGGCCUGAGAGGGUGACCGGCGACAUUGGGACUGAGAUACGGACCAGACUCCUACAGGAGGCAGCAGUGGGGAAUAUUGCACAAUGGGCGGAAGCCUGAUGCAGCAACGCCGCGUGCGGGAUGACGGCCUUCGGGCUGUAAACCGCUUUCGCCUGUGACGAAGCGUGAGUGACGGUAAUGGGUAAAGAAGCACCGGCUAACUACGUG